UACGUAGGCAGCAAGCGUUGUUCGGAGUUACUGGGCGUAAAGGGUGUGUAGGCGGCUUUUUAAGUUUGGUGUGAAAUCUCCCGGCUCAACUGGGAGGGUGCGCCGAAAACUGGAGUGCUGGAGCGCGGGAGAGGAAAGCGGAAUUCCUGGUGUAGCGGUGAAAUGCGUAGAUAUCAGGAGGAACACCGGCGGUGUAGACGGCUUUCUGGACCGUAGCUGACGCUGAGACACGAAAGCGUGGGUAGCAAACAGG
Molecule: ribosomal RNA, 253 nt
Filed under: uncultured bacterium
Lineage: Bacteria
Description: partial 16S ribosomal RNA
Rfam family: Bacterial small subunit ribosomal RNA
Source: RNAcentral